Molecule: long non-coding RNA, 388 nt
Filed under: Panax ginseng (ginseng)
Lineage: Eukaryota; Viridiplantae; Streptophyta; Magnoliopsida; Apiales; Araliaceae
Description: long non-coding RNA (PGIN_LNC004051)
Source: RNAcentral
UAAACUUUGAUGUAUGUAAAUUAAGUUCGAAUGUAUUAUUAUUUAGUAUUAUUCAGCUUAAAGAAAUGGUAUCGUGGAGAACCGAGUUCGAGUUUCAAGUACCUGGAUUUGGGGUCGUCACAGCAAUUGACCAACACUUAGCAGAUUUUAAAUAGAAGGCAAAAACUGAACACAGAGGCCGACGCAGUUGUGUUGUGCCCCAAUGUUAUACCGGUGCAGCUGCGCUACGUCUGGUUCAAGCCAAGGACAACCUGCUUAGGCAUGAUUUCAGCCCAACCACAGAAAUCAUUCACGAAUUCGAUUCUAAUCAGUCAUAUAACAGUUUAAACAUGCUUAUAUGGUUACAUAACAACUAUGUAAACAUUUCCCAACCCCAUUAUCAUCUAAC